UACAGAGGGUGCGAGCGUUAAUCGGAAUUACUGGGCGUAAAGCGCACGUAGGCGGCUUGCCAAGUCGGGUGUGAAAUCCCCGGGCUCAACCUGGGAACUGCAUCCGAAACUGGCUUGCUAGAGUAUGGGAGAGGGAGGCGGAAUUUCUGGUGUAGCAGUGAAAUGCGUAGAUAUCAGAAGGAACAUCAGUGGCGAAGGCGGCCUCCUGGACCAAUACUGACGAUCAGGUGCGAAAGCGUGGGGAGCAAACAGG
This 253-nucleotide ribosomal RNA is filed under the name uncultured bacterium. Its description in RNAcentral is "partial 16S ribosomal RNA". It matches the Rfam family "Bacterial small subunit ribosomal RNA", at positions 524 to 776 of the family's 1533-position model. The record is from RNAcentral.